Molecule: ribosomal RNA, 274 nt
Filed under: uncultured bacterium
Lineage: Bacteria
Description: partial 16S ribosomal RNA
Rfam family: Bacterial small subunit ribosomal RNA
Source: RNAcentral
GACGAACCGUGCAAACGUUAUUCGGAAUCAUUGGGCUUAAAGGGCGCGUAGGCGGCGUUGUAAGUUGGAGGUGAAAUCCCAUCGGCUCAACCGUGGAAUUGCCCCCAAUACUGCAAUGCUCGAGGGAGGUAGGGGCGAGUGGAACUUCCAGUGGAGCGGUGAAAUGUGUUGAGAUUGGAAGGAACGCCGGUGGCGAAAGCGACUCGCUGGCCCUCUUCUGACGCUGAGGCGCGAAAGCUAGGGGAGCAAACGGGAUUAGAAACCCCCGUAGUCC